GAUGAACGCUAGCUACAGGCUUAACACAUGCAAGUCGCGGGGCAGCAUGGGGGUUGCUUGCAAUCCCCGAUGGCGACCGGCGCACGGGUGAGUAACGCGUAUCCAACCUGCCCUUCACCCCUGGGUAACCCGGCGAAAGUCGGACUAAUACCGUAUGUUGUCCAUUGACGGCAUCCGAUUUGUCCGGAUGGUUUGGCGGUGAAGGAUGGGGUUGCGUUCGAUUGGCUUGACGGCGGGGUGACGGCCCACCGUGGCGACGAUCGGUAGGGGUUUGGAGAGGAAGGUCCCCCACACGGGAACUGAGACACGGUCCAGACUGCUACGGGAGGCAGGAGUGAGGAAUAUUGGUCAAGGGGCGUAAGCCUGAACCAGCCAAGUAGCGUGAAGGAGGACGGCCCUAUGGGUUGUAAACUGCUUUUAUGCGGGGAUAAAGUGGCCCACGUGUGGGUUUUUGCAGGUACCGAAUGAAUAAGGACCGGCUAAUUCCGUG
RNAcentral lists this ribosomal RNA (490 nucleotides) under uncultured bacterium. Its description in RNAcentral is "partial 16S ribosomal RNA". It matches the Rfam family "Bacterial small subunit ribosomal RNA", at positions 28 to 507 of the family's 1533-position model. The record is from RNAcentral.